RNAcentral lists this signal recognition particle RNA (97 nucleotides) under Plasticicumulans lactativorans. RNAcentral's name for it is "Bacterial small signal recognition particle RNA". It matches the Rfam family "Bacterial small signal recognition particle RNA". Rfam says of the family: The signal recognition particle (SRP) is a universally conserved ribonucleoprotein involved in the co-translational targeting of proteins to membranes. Archaeal SRP consists of a 7S RNA and homologues of the eukaryotic SRP19 and SRP54 proteins. Lineage: Bacteria; Pseudomonadati; Pseudomonadota; Gammaproteobacteria; Candidatus Competibacteraceae. The record is from Rfam by way of RNAcentral.
UGCCGGUCCCCUCGCGACGAGAAGCUGUGAACCCCGUCAGGCCCGGAAGGGAGCAGCGGCAGCAGCUGUAUCGGGCGCCGGGGUGUGGCUGGCACGG